This 3115-nucleotide long non-coding RNA is filed under the name Salmo salar (Atlantic salmon). Its description in RNAcentral is "lncRNA (ENSSSAG00000090702.1)". The record is from RNAcentral. Lineage: Eukaryota; Metazoa; Chordata; Actinopteri; Salmoniformes; Salmonidae.
CACACUGCUCUGGGGUAAGCAGUGUCCACCAAACAGAUUAUUCCAUCCUCGUAGGCUUUGGUUUCAAUAGUGCUACAUUCUUGAUAGCGGCCAAUUGCUUUGCGUAUUUUCAACAGAUUGUCCAUAAAUAUGUUGGCAAUAUUAAAGUCGUACACUUAUCAAUGUUUAAUGUAGGCACGGCAAUGUUAUUUUACUUGCAUCAGAAUUCUGAAUAACUAACAUUUAAUUUCAAUGCACUUUUUUCAAUUACUCUUCUCGAACUGGGCAUUGGAGAGAAUGGCCACAAUUUCAAAGAACAAAAGUGCUUGGGAGGUUGUCCCAGUCGGACCACAUUGUAUGAUGCACACAAAGCAAGGACUUUUUAAGCGAAAAGCCAGCUGAAAAACAAGCUCACGUGUUCUCAAAAUGAAAAACAUGAAGAACUGGAAUAAAAAGGAAAAGGGGAAGCAUGAGAAAUUUAAACCUGGAUCUAAGAAAAGAGAGAAAUGUGUGGUCAUGUUCAACGAUAACGAGCGACAGGAGUAUCUGACAGGAUUCCACAAGAGAAAGGUGGAGAGGAGGAAAGCGGCAGUGGUGGAAAUCCAGAACAAGAUAAAGGAGGAGCAGAAGAGAGUCAAAGAAGAGAGACACAAGGAGUAUUUGAAGUUGCUGCAGGAAAGAAAAGAGGCUCUCGAUGAGGAUGAUGAUGAAGAAGAUGAAUUGGAGGAUGUGAUAACGGGCACAACCGAGUCUGUACAGUACGAUCACCCCAACCAUACUGUUACCGUAACAACCAUCAGUGACCUUGACCUCACGGGGGCCAGCCUCUUUACGCCAGCAACCAAUCAGGUUACUGAGGACGGUGAGGAGGAGAAGGAGGUGGAGGAGCAGGAGAAAAUGAGCGCUAUGCCAAAGAAAUCUGGGAAUCCCAUCCUCAAUAAAAAAAUCUGCUCACUGAACGCCUCGCUCCACGCUCACCAGACGCAGCGGAAGGGAAGCAGGAAAGGGAAGCAGGAAGGCAAAGGACGAGGCCGGCCAACAGACAAGAAGCCAGGUGCCACAGACAAGAAGGGUAGAAUUGAGAAGAACAGAGUUGGGAGGACCAGCAAGAAGCAAAGACGCAGACUGACUGGGAAGAGGUGUUCUCCGAGGGGUGCGAUGAGUGAGCACCUGCCACCUCUGGACACGCCAUGCCCCUCUCCGGCGAUGACCUUAUCUGUCCCAAGUUCCAGCCCAACAUCUUCGACUCCUCCCGUUGCCACGACUGCCUGCGCCAGAAGCACCUGCACUCGGGCACGAGUACAGGCACGGGUACAGCCGAAACACUACAGCUGAGCCUCACAGCGGAGAAGGAGCCAGGGCAAGCCACUGGACCUCCACCAACACUACUACCAGCACCACAGGCAGUGGAGAGAAAUACCAGUGCCAAGACAGAGGGAGAGGGGAUUAGAAGAGUGGAGGACUCUGAUGGCCUGUCAGUGGUGAGCAGCUUCUGUGAUGUCAGCGGAGAUCAGCUGGGUUACGAGGAGAGCUCCUUGUGCAUCCUGAGCCCUGACUGUGACCUCUACAUCUGUGACGGAGACGACGACGACAGCACUGACAGCUGUCGGGACCAGAGUGUCUACGCUGAUCUCAGUGGCUCCAUCAGUGCAGAGGACCACUAUCUGUCUCUCCGGCACCGCUCAACCCACCUCACCAUGAACCACCUGGACCCACCACCGCACCGAACCAACCCCAAUGCCUGGAUGGAGGAGGACAACAGCAGGGGCAGGAUUGGCAGACACUCAGGGUUAAAAGAAGAAAGGAAUCGUGAAAGUGGCUACUUCUCUCUGGGGAGGGCAGGAGGAGCCCGUUCUCUCAGGGAUCAGAGCCCUCCUCCCGUUUACCGCCAUUCAGAGAGGGGACAUCCCCUCUACAGCAACCGGAGCCCUGAACCCAAAGCUACCAUCCCCUUCAGGAACCCUAACCUGGGGCUGGCCUCGGAGAGGUUAAACCCAGAGAUACUAAACCCAGACCUGCCUCUGGAAAUCCCUGAACCUCCUGACGCAUUUGAUCUCACCAUCGAGGUUGAGGCUCAGGUGGGCCCUCGCUCCCCAAGCCCCACCCCUUUUAAGAUAGCAGAAUCCCUGGCCUCCACUAACCGGAGGGGUUUCAACAGCUCAUACAGUAGAAGAAACUCCCCUUCCUAUCAGGAGUCUGGGAAGUUCAAUUCAUCGAGACAAAGCUCCUCUCUGUCCCGCUCCUCUUCACCCUUACGAAACACCUCCCCAUUCAAACGAAGUGAAUGUACCACCUCCCUCAAUAGGCGGGGCUUAGACUCUGAGGGCUGGUCUCAGGGGUGGGACCAGACUUCUAGAGGUCCCCCCCAGAGCUCUUAUGGACGAGGUGUUGAUAUUAGAGGCUUGAAUAAAAACGUAAUAUCGAUGGCCAGUUCAGUUGGUUCCAUAUCACAGGUCAACUCUGUUGCAUAUUUUAAAAGUGCAUUGCGCAAGAAUGAGACAGACAGCUCCUUAAAUGGUCGUGGACGUGACACUCGAAGCUCCGCCCCUUCAAGGAGGGGUUACGAAAGCCCCAGACAAUCUCUGGUCCGCAAAUCUGAAACAAGUAACUCCUUAAAUGGCCGUGACAGCAGAAGCUCAUCUCCCUCGAGGAGGGCUUAUGACACCUCCAGCCAAACCCUCCUUCGCAAAUCUGAUGGGAACAGCUUGAUAAAUGGUCAUGGUCGUGAAAGUCGCAAUUCCUCUCCUUCGAGGAGGAGUUACGAUGCCACCAGCCAGUCCCUCCUUCGCAAAUCUGAAACAAACAGUUCUCUCAAUGGUCAUAGUCGACACGGCGGCCGGUGUGGCUCUCCCAUUAGGGAGGGUUAUGAUGCCGAAAGACAAUCUCUGCGGAAAUCAGCUUCUAGGAAUGACUUAAGUGUUCAUGCCUAUGAAAGUAGCUCUUCCCCUUCUAGACGUGGCUUUGACACUCCUUGUCAAUUCCUGCUUUGCAAAAGUGAGACAAGUGGCUAUGGAAAUGGUCGAGGUCGUGACAGUGGAAGCUCCUCUCCCUCUAGGAAAGGCUAUGAUGCCCCGAGCCAGUCACCUCCGCGCAAAAGGGAAUCCAACAGCUACCUGAAUAGUCAAAGUCGAGACAG